Long non-coding RNA from Hyalella azteca, 1339 nucleotides. RefSeq lists it as uncharacterized. Lineage: Eukaryota; Metazoa; Arthropoda; Malacostraca; Amphipoda; Hyalellidae. The record is from RefSeq and is a predicted model, not a curated record. The transcript is spliced from 2 exons.
GCUCAUUCGACAACAUCAAUUCGUGUCGGGAGAUUUGGCGAAAGUUUUAGUACGGAACGUGAUGAAUAUUUUAGCGUUUGAUAUAUCGCAGAUCUAUUUAAAACAACAAGCUUAGAAUGCGGACAAAAUAAAUUGUGCGAUGUUGGAGUUGGCACACGGUUGCUUCAAUGAACGGAGUUCAGUGUAGCGUGAUAAUACAAACCUAAGCGUGGUAAUACGAUAAAUCGUAUUCCUCGUACAAUCGUAUUCAUCCCUUUAAGUUCAAUAAUAGUCGACCUAUGCAAAUAACAUGCAAAUUAAGUCACUCUAUAUCUUUUUCGUAAACAAGGAAGAUGUCUAAAAAAACUUCCACGCUUAUAAACACAUUGGUGAAUUAAUUUCAGUCUCUGAAUGUUUAUUUUCAACCGAUUUUAGAUCAAAGUCAUGGCGUCGUCGACUUCCAUAAACAGACUCCUGGUUGCCUCAACAUUCAAACCACCCCAUUUGACGCAGAGCAUCCAACUCCAAGCUUCCACUUCUAUUCGUCAGAUGUGAACCGAGGCUACGAGGGUUCUUUCUCAAUGUCACCACGGCUCAACCGUUGCUGUUUAUGACCCGAAACGUCGAGUCAUAAUGAUCAACUGAGAAGAAUUGACAUAGGAAAUAUAACUUUAUAUAUAAUAUAACUUUACCCUUAUGAGACGAGCAACAAAAUGGUAGUGUUGCCUCAAUUGCCACUCAGUUGAUGCUGGCAGGUCACCGUAACCACAAGAUGGACAAGCCUCAGUCAAGUUCCGAUUGCUGGGAAAUUGUUCGCAAUUCCGAAGAUUGUUGUCCAACUUUGUGAUAUAAUUAUGAUUGGAACUUAUGUUGUCGAUACAGUAGUACUUAAGGUUUAUUUUUAGGUAGAUAGUUAUUGGUUUUAAUAAAAUUGUAAAGUUGCACGAAAGGAACCUUAAUAUAGAAGACAUUUUAGUGCAACAGCUGGAGCAAAAUGAUCUGAUUAUUGUUAAGUUAGUAUAAUGGCGUUAUCAUAAUUUUCUCGUGUCUUCAUUGUCUACUUCCAAAACGACGUCAAAAAAGCACGAAUAGUUAGUAACUGAAACUUAAAAUAAAAAUGUCCACAUGUAGAAUUGUAGAUAUGAGAAUGAAAGGAGAAAACUUUUCUACUGGUUCGUUUAUAUAUAUAUUUUUAAUGUUUUGUUUUACGCCCCUACAAUCAUUACAACAAAAUAUCUUCGACCAGCUCCAAGUAUGACAUUACUUUAUAUACGAGUUCUGAUGCAGGAUGAGACCGAGGUGUCGCGUGUUCACCGAGGUGCAAAUGCUGUGCACACUAUAUGAAUUACACUGCAUAAUA